UUGACUGUUUUGUGAAAUCAAAAUUACUUCUGUGAUUGAAGAAUUAAAAUGGUGUCUAUAGGAUUGAGUAUGCGAAGUCAAUGAAAAUUUUUGGAUUAAACUAAUAAGACAGUUAGUGGAUACAAGGUCGUGAGUAUAAAGCUGUAUCGAAGAUUAGUGGAUUGGGCUAUUCGGGGUUCUCUGAAACAUCUAGAGACCUACCGACUGGGGCAAAAAGGAUUUUGGCGAGCAGUUGAA
Molecule: long non-coding RNA, 237 nt
Filed under: Physcomitrium patens
Lineage: Eukaryota; Viridiplantae; Streptophyta; Bryopsida; Funariales; Funariaceae
Description: long non-coding RNA (PPAT_LNC012383)
Source: RNAcentral